Molecule: long non-coding RNA, 389 nt
Organism: Carassius auratus (goldfish)
Lineage: Eukaryota; Metazoa; Chordata; Actinopteri; Cypriniformes; Cyprinidae
Exons: 4
Source: RefSeq, a predicted model, not a curated record
UGUGUCUUUACAAGCACGCCAUAUAUAUUUGGCCGAUGUACUUGCUGCAGGACAGUUGGAGAAGGAAACUGAAAACAGAAUAGAUGUGUCUUUACAAGCACGCCAUAUAUAUUUGGCCGAUGUACUUGCUCCAGGACAGUUGGAGAAGGAAACUGAAAACAGAAUAGAUAGACUUUAGGAGGCUUUGCCAACUGCAUGCGGUAGGAAACCAUGGCUGAAAGCAAUGAGCUUGUUUCAAGUGACAACACGAUCACUCCAGAGAUCAUCCAGGAGCUUCUUCCGGCUGCGGAGCGAACCGCUCUUCUCUAUCAUCUCUCUUACCUGAGACUGGGUACUCUCCCAAACCUGGAGCGUCUGAUCAAACAGCAAGCUCUUGAUACACAAAUGCU